RNAcentral lists this unclassified non-coding RNA (311 nucleotides) under Bombus terrestris (buff-tailed bumblebee). RNAcentral's name for it is "misc RNA ENSBTSG00005038385.1". Lineage: Eukaryota; Metazoa; Arthropoda; Insecta; Hymenoptera; Apidae. The record is from RNAcentral.
GCAACAUACACUACACUGCUGCAACUCUAAAACGAGUAUUCUCGAUCGAACGACAAAUUCGGUUCGCCACGGUUCGUCUUCUCGCAGUCAAAUUCGUCGAGACAAAUUCGUGCAGCAUGGAGUAUCUUUCAAAAGAUGAUCUUCUCGAAGACGUUCACUUUUUGAAUCUUUCUUUGAAGCGCAGAAGCUCGGCUCAUCUUCUACUUCGAUUCAUUUCGCUUAACUCGGGCAGGUUAAAAGCAAGAUAAAUUUCAUGGACUAGCAGAAACCUUCCACGACGCGGAUGAUUUCGAUAACAUUGUCGGAAUAAA